Molecule: long non-coding RNA, 8232 nt
Filed under: Podarcis lilfordi (Lilford's wall lizard)
Lineage: Eukaryota; Metazoa; Chordata; Lepidosauria; Squamata; Lacertidae
Source: RNAcentral
GAGGGGCGCGCGCGGGGAAGGGAGCGAAGCCGGGGUCCCUCGACGGCCGGGUGGCCAGCUCUCAGGACUCCCUCGAGGGUGGUUGUUUUUAGCGGGAUUUCCAGUGUGGGAUGAGGGGGUGGGUGUGUUGUUUUAGUUUAUUUAUGUUCCUUUUAUUUCACAAGGUUUAUACAGUAUAGUAUACCUCUUGGCUGUGUAGAAAACCAGCGCCCAUGUGGGGUCUCUUGUCCAUCACCCCUGACUUCUGAGGGGGGUCCCAAGUGGGGUCUCUUGUCCGUCCAGCACCCCAGACUUCUGAAGGGGGUGCCAAGUGGAGUCUCUCAUCCGUCCAGCACCCCUGACCUCUGAGGGGGGUCCCAAGUGGGGUCUCUUGUCCGUCCAGCACCCUGACUUAUGAGGGGGGUCCCAAGUGGGUUGGGGUCUCUUGGCCCAGGGCUUUGCUGCUGAGGGAAGGAUGGGCCAACUCUACAGUUCUGUGAUUCUUGGGGUUGGGAUGGACAUACCAAUUUUAUUGUUUUGUAAAAUGUUUCUGCUGCUUGACUCACCCAUAUUACUGCCAGCUAGGGAUGGGCGAAUCUGUCCUCCUAGGUUUUCUUCAGUUCCUCAUUUUUCAGAACUUAAAUUCGGUUUCCCGCAUAUCUGUUUGCGAUUUAAGGGGGGGGGGGAGUCAUAAAAAGUCAUGAGUUUCGUGUGAAUUUUUUGUAAUACGUGUUUGCAGUUUUGCCUUUUUCUAGAGCAGCUUCCCCUAAUGCAAUGCAUUUUUGUAUUUUAUUGUUGAUAACAAACUUUUUUGUGCACACUUUUGUCACAUUGUGUGCAUUUUGUACAUAUUACUGAAGAACUGCGUUGCAAAUUUGCUCUGAAUUUUGCAUAUUUUGAGAGAUAGCUGUGUUUUCAGUUGGCAUAUUGCUUUUGAGAGUGCAGAUUAGGUAGGUUUGCCUUUAAAUGUGAACUGAAUUAACUAUCUCUCCCACUGCUACCACCAGCUCAUAAACAUAGUGUAGUGUACAGCAUACCUGACUUGAGGCAAGCUAAUUCUGUUUUAGUAGGGAGUGGGGAGAGAUGCAAUUGAACCUUGCCUUAAAACUCUACGUGAUUAGGUUUAACAUACUACUACUUUCCCCAUCCAAAAUUUCAUUUUUAACCCUUGCAGUUUUCAUUUGUUUCUUUCAAGUGUGGCAUCUGUUUAUCCUGUCUGGGAAUAGCAGAAACAGGUACUGAAACUGAUAGGCAACAAAAUAGUUCUCAUUCCAAAAGACAAAUCACCCUAUCAUUUCGUUCAGCUUACUUAUGAUGCAGUAAUGUCUCUACAUCUUAAAUGUUAUACAACAAAAUGGUGCUUUUGGCAUGGUAUGUUCUUAUUAAAAGUUAGGCAGCGAAGCCAGAAGCUUUUGAUUUGUUCAUUAGGAAAUUUAGCAUUGAUCCCUUUGUGCUUAGAGGAAUGAUGUCUGAUAGGGAUUGAUUAAACUUAAGAAGCAGCAUAUUUAAAUGCAACAAUGAUGGUGAGACAGCGGUAGAACAUUGUGUUUGCCUUUCUUUCCUUUGCUUUCAAAGCAGGUCUUGGAAAGGAAUUUCUUACUCCAGGGACCCAUGCUGUCUGUAAAUUAUAAAAGAGGAAACUGAAUAUCAUGGAUGGCGGUGGUGAUGAAUUCUCUGUAGAAGGCACUUACUAAAGCGACAAAAAUUGCAACGAAGAAAAAAAUAAUCCUGGUCUCCCACCAAAAUAUUUUCAUACAACAGACCAAAGAAACCAGUGGGAAAGUUGUUCUGAUUUCAGAGGACAAUGGAUAAAGUUCAGAGCAAAGCUGUAUGUUAUAAACACAUAUUUUGAUGCUGCAUGAUUCUUUUAUAAUCUCUAAAUAGCAGCAGCAGGAGAGCUCAAUAAGAGUCAGGACAAGUGAGGGGAGAAGGAGAUUUAUUAAGCUCUGAGCUGUAUGUCACACCUGCCUUCCCAAAACUGCUAUUUGUAUUAUGAGAAGCUAUUGUUCACAUGUCUUAUCUUAGAUCAGCGGUAGGGAACAUCCAGCCUGUAGGUCAGUCUUGGUCUGCCAGGGGGUCCAAUUUGACAUUCUAGGUAAUUUUCCCCAAACCAUGCCCACACACUCCCAGCUGACCACCUUCUUUAAACAGUUGGGCAGACAGGAGGGUAAAGGAGCUUGUAAAAUGUACAGAGAAUCAUAAAGCAAAAGUGCUCUUUGAAGUAGCCUCCCUACCCCAACAUUGCUUGAGCACUGCUUCAAAAAGCACUUCUGCAAAGCACUUAACACAGUCCCUGUUCUCCCAUCUGAGACUGUAGAAUGGAAGCAGGAGGACUGUCCUCAAGCACUUUGCAAAUUUGCUCUUUGAAGCAGCUUCCCGCUCUUCCUUCAAACAUCGCUUGAGAAAUAUUUAAAGGGGAGAGAUGGCUUAAAAUAGAUUUUGCAAAGCACUUUAAGCACUCUCCCCACUGCCUUUAACAUAGUGAUGUUAUAAGUAGGAGGGGCUGCUUGAAAUAACUUUUGCAAAGGGUUUUCAUAUGCCGACACUCCCUGCUCCUGGGAGCUCAUGUGGAAGUGUGGGGUUUGCCUUUGAAGAAGCUGUUGCAGAUUCCCAAGUGCUCAACAGCCAGCUGGCUGUUGGGCACUUGGAAACCCUAUUUUAUAAAUUAAAAAUAAAAAGUGGUUCAGUUCAUUAAUGAAUUAGUUUCCCUAUUUCACAGAUAAGCAUUCAUUUAAAAAACCCAGAUAAACUGAACCAUGCAAACAGCUGUUCUUUUGCUAAGCCAUUUGCACAGCAGAUGCAGGUGCCACUGGGAUUUUGGCAUUCCAGGCAGUUGCCUAGUUUGCUUCUAUAGUUAGACCAGCUCUGUGCAUUGCUAAGUGUGUUCUCACUGUGCUGCUAAUCGCUUUUAGUUGUGGGCUUAUGUAAACAUGGAAAUGUGCUCAAAUGUGGAAUAAGUGCUCAAAGUGUUUUUAUUUAAUAUUUGGGGUAGUGAGAAACCCUCUCUCUCACUUUAAAGGAUUGGGAAGUCCAAUCUCUGCAUAAAUGAGCACCUUAUUUGAAGAUGUCCAAACUCCUCAGCAAUCCUUACUUUUUGCAAAUUAAAGAUGCAAAAAGUGAAAAUGCCAAAAAUGAGUAAAUGAAAUGGACAGAUUAAUCCAUGUCUACUAUCAGCCUUGUGGGCUAGCAAGUGAAUAGCACAGACUAGCAAGUCCAGCAUAUCUUUGUAUUUGGGAGUGGAGGUGCAAUUCAACCAAGCCCUUAAACUAGAACUCUCAAUCGCUUUUCUCUAAGCAGUUACAACAAAUCUUGUGUGCAGAUGUAGAACUGUGACCCUAGUUUAUGCAUAUAGCAUCAGGGGAAUUGGAAUGAGGUGUCAUCAAUAUACAGAAGAUGCCCAGAUGCAGGUGCUGAACUGAGGUCUGGUGGUGAUAAUAGGUUGCAUGUAGGCCAGUAAAUUGAAACUGAAUCCAGACAACACUGACGUACUGUGACUUGAUGGGUUCUUGGUCCAGGAUUUGAAAGAUCACUUUGGGGUGCUCCUGAGGCCACAUUUGUCACAUUAAGCCCAGGUGGAUUCAGUGGCUGGGAAUAUCUUCCCAGCUGUAGCUGCUUCAUCAAAUAUAGUCUUUCCUGGACAGAGAGAGCUGGCCACAGUAUUUAAUAUAUAUGUAUUUCCUGCUCUGUGACUAUCUAGGAAAGGGUUGGCUAUAAACACUUGAAAUAAAUAUUCAAAUACUCUUGCAAUGUGGUUUUUACCAUCACAAGUGAAUCAGUGUCUGCCUUACUGUUACCAUUAACCGGUUUUAUGUGAUGCUUGUGUUUGGUCUCAAUUACUAAAAACAUAUUUUCCCUUGAAUUAUUUUAAUAUUCUCCAGGAAUGGAGCACGCAUUAGGAUAAUUCAGAACUUGAAAUUCAGCUACAAAUGCAGCACCAAUGAGGCCACCCACAUCACCAGCUGCUCUUGAUUAAUCCACUUUUCUUUCUACAAAGCCUCUAAUGAAUACUCUGUAGGACCAAGGCCCUUAUUUAUCUGGGGAAACCAUCUGAUUUCUUUUCACAUCCAUUAGUUGGGCGGAGGUAUGGGGGAGAAACAAAAGAAAUUAAAAUCUUAGGCUACACACAAAAUGAAACACGCAAGACCUAUAGACAGAGUUGUCAGGACUCAACCAAGAGUUCUGAAGCAGUAGAAGCUGAUGUGGGUUAACUGUUUGCAGCUGUUCCCAGAGGGAGGGAAAGAGGUUUAUGUUUGGGUACCCCCCCCAAGUUCAAUCAGGACACCCCACUGUAAAGACAAAUAGUACUUGAUCCAAGUGACAUCUCAGAACUAGCUCUGUAUAUUGGAGAAAACACCAGGUACUCUGACUAAUCAUUUGGGAAGGUUUUCAAAGCUUUGUCUCUCGUGGCACGCUCAACCCCAGAUCCACAUGCUUUCCCUAUAAUUAUUCUAAUGAUCACAAAUGAACACUUCAGCAUUUGUGAUGUAUUCUAGAAUCAAAGUAAUGGGCAUCAGAUAAAACCACAGAUAGCAUUCACGAUACAGAUUUCCUGUGACUACAAGUGUAGCAAAGGAGAGAAUUUUGGUAGGCUCAGUUUCUCUUUCAUUUCUGCAUAAAAUUAAGGGCUAUUGAUAAAUUAUGUAAUGGGAAAGGAGUUUUGUGGCAUUCACUGGCCCCUUGCUUGAUUUUGAACUUAAGCCCAUCACAAGCUGAAGACCUAGUAUUUGCCAAUAAAUUGUACCUGCUUUUCCAAACCUAAGGAAAUAUCACCUCUCAGUCCUUGCCUGUUGUGCAGCUGCUAAAAAAAGGAUAGACCUUUUUUCUGCACAAGGGUGUGCAGGUGUUUAAAAUGUCAAUAUGUCUGGAAUAAUACCCACUCUUUCCAUAUACAAACAGCCCCAGGAAUUUAUGAGAACUCAGCAUGGAAAAGAUGGUAUUUGGUUGAUUGCAGAGGAAAUUUCUAAAUAGCUAUGGACCAUAGCAAGGGUCCAAAUUUGCCUGGAGCGCUACACUAAAGUGUACCUAGCUAACAGUUAAUCCAAACCUGGAAAGAAGCAAAGUAGCUCUGCAAGUUGUCAGGCUCUUCAAAAUCACAGUUUGCCUUGCAUCUUUGACUAAAUAAUAGUUUAGGAAACACUCCUGGGCACAAGUAAUGUGUUCCAUGCGGCUGCUGGCCCCAGUCUGAGAAAACAAUAGGAAACAGCUGCUAAAACACAAAACCGGGGCCCUGGGGAGUAGCAACUUUUCAGAAAUGUGUGGCAUACAGAGGAAAGAAUGUGAAAAGGGGAAUAAAUAAUCAAGUCUACCUCUCUUAAGGAAAAUCCCAUUGAAUCUGGGGAGUGGGGGACACUCCACCUGAUUUGUUCACUUGCACCCCACCAUAUGGACACAUGUUCCAGGUUGCAAUCUGCCCCUCAAACUGUUCUACCCCCCCCCCCGCCAUGAGAAUCUAGUAAAACCUGUAAAAUUAAUGUUGUUCUUGCAUCGUGACAAGAACAAAAUUGCCAACUUUUGCGUUUUACUCAUUUGGCAGGAACUGCCCUGGCUGGACUAGUCAGACUAAGAUCCAUUUCAUCCAGCAUUCUGGACUAGACUCUUAGCAUAUGAUUCUAAUACCUUCAGCAUUGUAGGGUUGCAGGGCCAACCCUAAGUUAAACAGAGUGAGGUAACUGCCUUAGGUAGCAGCUGUUCAGGAACAGCAGUAUCAGCCUCCAGAAUUUCCUAUUGACUCCCCCUCUGCUGCCACAUGGUCCCUUUGGGGACUGCUGCUUCAGGUAUGGUACAGGAUGUUAUCCGAUCACACGUGUUGAGGUAAGACUCAAUUGCCAGUGCAGUCAGCUUCUGAACUUGGAAUUGUGAAGGGGCAACAUCUUGUCCUGCAGCUCAGGCAGCAAAAUGUAUGGGGCCAGCUGGGUGGGCUGCAGCAGUAUGGUGUAGUAGCGGAUAGUGUGUUGGAUUAGGAACUGGGAGAUCAGGGUUCAGAUACUCAGCUGUGAAACUUGUUGAGUGACCUUGUGCCAUUGAGGAGUAUAUAAAUUUUGUUAACUAAAUAGAUUAAAUAGAAUAAAGACAUGCAUUUCUUCAAAAUGUCCAGAGAAGCAGAGGCAGUAGAACGGAGAUGGUUUAUUAUAAGUAGCAUCUCACAGAAAAUGUUCAGAUUCUCUCCGUGUUGCGUAGAUUUGUGUUGGGUCUCCAUGGUGAUGUCCUGUGUUACUGCAACACAGAAAAACAUCUUUGCAAAGGGCCAAUAAACAUACAGGAAGAAGUUAGCAAGCGUGACGUUAAAAAAAGAGGAUCUUACUUCAUGGUGACUGUUCUUCAUAUCUUGCUUUCCAGCCUGUUGGGUGUUAACACCUCCUGUACAUGCAAAUGUACUUAUUUUUAAGCUUUCAAUGUCAAGCAAGUUUUCAGUAUUAAGGUUUCCCUGUUUCUGAUCAUUGGAUAUUAGAAAUGUGUUCUUGAAAUUGAUUAUUUUAAUAGCACCCUUUCAGAGAACUAAAUGCUUUGCUAUUCUUAUUUUGAUUCACAACAGCCCUGUGGAAUAACUGCAAAGUCGUAAACUGUUUCUUAAGUGAAAACUAGUCUGACGAAUUGCCAACUCUUUAUUUACUGCAAUUGGAUUACAUGUGUUUUUAAUUACCCUAUUAAUGGGAUUCCCAUGAGUAAGUGUCCUGCUUCAGGCCCAGCAAAUGCAGAUAGAGGAUCUUAAGUAAGAAAGAGAUCUUAAUUCAGGAAAGCACAGGCUUGGCAGCAGACAGAGUUCGGGAGUCAUGAUUCAGGGAUUCAGUAAACGAGCCAGAUAUUCAGAACUGGACAAAAGCAACAAAGAUGUCCCAACAGCUUCCACACAUACCAAGCUUUUAAAGAUAAUGCACAGCACACUCGCUUCUUAUGCAGAAAUGUCUGGACUGCAAAUGUGCUCUCCAGGGGGAGUGUCUGCUCCUAUCUGCAGAGAUGGCGCCUGUUUUAUAUAAGAAGACUGGCUCCUGAUCACUCUUUGCCAUCUCCUGAAUUGUUCACCUUCCACACCCAGCCAUUGGUCCCACCUGGUGUGCACACACACAUGCCCCGGACACCAACAAAAGAUGCAACACCACUGUCCUGAGGAUCAGCAAGUGGGGGGGGGCACAUUUGAAGGGGAGACCCAGCCUAUAGGUUUCCCACCUGUGUUUUAAAUAGCUCCAUAUUAUAAUCACUGAAGAGGCAUAAACCUCUCUCAAACUGUUCUUCAUUCUGUCAUCCUACUCAUAAUUGUGCCAUCUCAGUCAGCUUAGAUCUCAUGGCAGCGUUCCAUAUUUUAUUAAUCCACUUUUGUUCCAUUGGAAUUGCUGGCGUAUGCUAUUUGAGUGUUGCUAAAAAAAAUUUUUUUGCUUUAGUUAACAUAUUUCCCACCAAAUUAUGGCAUUCCAGAUGUAUAUCAUUUUUAAGAUACUCUAAAAGGAAUUGUAAUGGCCUCAGUGGCAGUAAAUUAUAGCCUAGCAUAUUUUGUAUAAUGUUAAUAAUGCCCCACAAACUACUGAUUUUUGCACAAAUCCAUCGUACAUAUAUAAAGUAUAAAGGCUGCUUUCCUUGCACCAGAUUUCCAGCAUGCACUACCAGUAUGAGGAUUCAUAUUUGCAAGGCAAAGCGGAGACAACUACUAGUAGAAUAUCUAAAUUAAAAUAUAUUUAUUUAUUUAAGUAUUCAUAACCCACACUUUCAUAAAUUUAUAUCAAGACGGUAUACAACAUACAAUGUUAUAAUAAAAUCAGCAAAUGCAUCCAUAAAACAUCGUGAAAAAUAUCAACAAAGCAUGUAUCUUCCAAAGGAUGUUUAAAAGAAUAGAGUGGAGACUCCUGCCAAAUCUCUGCUGAAGGACAACUGAACCACAAGGGCACGGGGGCCCUCAAGAAGCACCCCAUCAGAGGAUAUUUGUGCAAGGUGAUAGCACCAAAUUUUUGGACAAUACAUUUCCCUGUGCUUCUGUAAUAUUAAUUGUCACAGAUAAUGCAGAUUGUAUGUGUAAAUCCAGUAACGGGCUUCCCACCCCUUCCUGGAGAGGUGAGAAUUUCCUUGCAUCUAAGAAAGUGUUGGGCAAAUGCUCUGCCACUGAGCUUUGGUCCUUCCCUUAAGACACAGGAAAAUAGGAAGCGGACUUGCACUGAGUCAGACCAAAUAACAGCUUCAGAGAAGUGUGUGGGAAGGAUUGUGACAGCGGUAGAAAUAAUUGAACUUCUACUCUCCAGCAGUUCCAGUGUUGAUCAGGCUUCUCCA